This 97-nucleotide non-coding RNA is filed under the name chicken gut metagenome. Its description in RNAcentral is "S10-Clostridia ribosomal protein leader". It matches the Rfam family "S10-Clostridia ribosomal protein leader". The record is from RNAcentral.
UGAUAGCGUUGAUCCGCAAGGUUGCUGCCGGCACGAAUACAUAAGUGCCCUCAGGUUUUUGCGGGGAGUAAAUGUCAAGACAUAUCGUUGGCGACAA